AAAAAGACAAAUCCUGGUUUCCGUGUCCAACGUUUGACCGUCCGUCUUAUUUGAAAAAAUUAUGAAAAAAAAUAAAAAGACAAGUCACGCAUAAAAUAUUAAUCAUGUUUUAUCAUCUAACAACAAUGAAAAUACGAAUUAUAAAAAAAUUUCAUAUAAGACGGACAGUCAAAGUUGGACACGGAAACCCAUGAUUUGUCUUUUU
This 205-nucleotide microRNA precursor is filed under the name Oryza nivara. Its description in RNAcentral is "MIR812 microRNA precursor family". It matches the Rfam family "MIR812 microRNA precursor family". The record is from Rfam by way of RNAcentral. Lineage: Eukaryota; Viridiplantae; Streptophyta; Magnoliopsida; Poales; Poaceae.